GUGCUUUUUUUCGCAGCACAUGUACUAAAAUUGAAAUGAUAGAGAAGAUUAGCAUGGCCCCUUCACAAAGAUUACACAGACAUCCGUGGCAUGUCCAUUAGAAAA
Small nuclear RNA from Cynocephalus volans (Philippine flying lemur), 105 nucleotides. Lineage: Eukaryota; Metazoa; Chordata; Mammalia; Dermoptera; Cynocephalidae. The record is from RefSeq and is a predicted model, not a curated record.